This 510-nucleotide ribosomal RNA is filed under the name Brevibacterium sp. Its description in RNAcentral is "bacterial SSU rRNA". It matches the Rfam family "Bacterial small subunit ribosomal RNA", at positions 24 to 510 of the family's 1533-position model. The record is from RNAcentral. Lineage: Bacteria; Bacillati; Actinomycetota; Actinomycetes; Micrococcales; Brevibacteriaceae.
UCAGGACGAACGCUGGCGGCGUGCCUAAUACAUGCAAGUCGAGCGAAUCGACGGGAGCUUGCUCCCUGAGAUUAGCGGCGGACGGGUGAGUAACACGUGGGCAACCUGCCUAUAAGACUGGGAUAACUUCGGGAAACCGGAGCUAAUACCGGAUACGUUCUUUUCUCGCAUGAGAGAAGAUGGAAAGACGGUUUACGCUGUCACUUAUAGAUGGGCCCGCGGCGCAUUAGCUAGUUGGUGAGGUAAUGGCUCACCAAGGCGACGAUGCGUAGCCGACCUGAGAGGGUGAUCGGCCACACUGGGACUGAGACACGGCCCAGACUCCUACGGGAGGCAGCAGUAGGGAAUCUUCCGCAAUGGACGAAAGUCUGACGGAGCAACGCCGCGUGAACGAAGAAGGCCUUCGGGUCGUAAAGUUCUGUUGUUAGGGAAGAACAAGUACCAGAGUAACUGCUANNNUANGGUACCUUGACGGUACCUAACCAGAAAGCCACGGCUAACUACGUGCCA